AAGAGGCAUAGCUCACAAAUGAACAGGAGUGCAGAGGGAAUCAGCAAUUGUCUCCUGGGAGAAGAAGAAAAGACAUGAAAGGGACCGCAGUAAAGCAAAAGCUGCCGUUUCACUCCAAUACAAAUGAUCUAGCCCCAGAAACCCUGCUGUUAACCAGCACAACCUUCAUGCAGGAUGAAAAUAGAUCUAAGAAGAGUGACACGUUCAGGUUGUGCACUAUUUAUAAUAAAAAUGAGUAAGGAAUUUGUGGAAAUGGAACUGACAACCAGCCUUCUCUCAGAAUCAGGAAACAGCAUCCUAUCACAGCAGUUCCUUCUGGUGCUGGGGAUGAGAGCAGAUGAUGACUCAGACAGAUGCUGAGUUGGAGCUAUUGGUGCAAGGUCGUAUACAAUAGGUGUCCUCACUCGAAAGGGGUCAGUAUGGAAGUGAAAUUGGUGCUGCUCUAAAUGCAUGAGAAAAAUAAGAUUUGUGGCAGGAAGGAAAAGCUCGGCAGAGUAUUGUGCUACCAUGGAUGGACCAGAUGCUGCAGAGUUCCAGCCACCCCGGGACCGCGUUUUGCAGACAGUGCUGAGCAGGGUUUGAUGCUGAGCUCUGGCAGCACGGCCCUCCAUCCAAAUCCACACCGCGACAUCGGUAUGCCUGCUGAAAGCGGUCCAGGCAUCCCGUGCACACUCAUGAGAGAGAAUUUGGCCAGUAUGCUACCAGAAAGGGAAAAACUUAAAAGGGAGGCAAGGCAUGCAGAUUGCUGAGAGCCACCUGUCAAGGAUAACCAGUGUGCAGGCAGAUCAACGACACUAUUUAAUGUUGCAAUAGAUGCAACUAACUCUUCACCACAGAGCUUAAUGUGGACAAGAUUCCUGCUACAGGAGCAAAUGACUGCGUCUGACAAGAACAAGGAAAGUGAAUCAGUAGUUGCAUUCAGAAAUCUAAG
Molecule: long non-coding RNA, 931 nt
Organism: Cygnus olor (mute swan)
Lineage: Eukaryota; Metazoa; Chordata; Aves; Anseriformes; Anatidae
Exons: 9
Source: RefSeq, a predicted model, not a curated record